Molecule: long non-coding RNA, 347 nt
Filed under: Elaeis guineensis (African oil palm)
Lineage: Eukaryota; Viridiplantae; Streptophyta; Magnoliopsida; Arecales; Arecaceae
Description: long non-coding RNA (EGUI_LNC078166)
Source: RNAcentral
CCUUUGCAUGGCCUCCAUAUAGGUGAUCGGAUCCUCAUCAUUCUCAUCAAGUUCAAUAAGAUCACCGUCCCGGAUCAAAAAAUUAUAAUAUUUGUCCGACUAAUGCAGUACUCUACCGGAUCUCCUUAAUGGUGCCUCUACUGGCUCCAAAUUUGAUUCACCAAUCGAACCCAAUUCUGUAUGUAUCAGUCCUUCCACCUCAUGAACUUCAUCAAGUUCAAUUUUAUAGGCAUUAGCUCCUUCACCAAGAAAUUUUUUUUCCAAAAAGACUGUCCGACUGCUGAUAAACACCUUUUGUUCUGCAGCGAGGUUGAAGUAGUACUCUUUAGUUUUCUUUGGAUACCCUA